UUCUUCUGCUCCACUCCAGUUCUCCAUCAGCAUAGGUGACCGUGCAUAUAUGCACACACUCACCAAGAUGUAGAAGAAACCAUUUUAAAGCCUGAGCUCUUGGCUCCUUCCCUCAAGAUAUCAUGCUUGGAUGACUACUAGACAGGAAAGAGCUGACCCAAGAUACAGAGUACAUGGAGACAUGACCUGGUAGGAGUCUCCAGACACCAGACUCAGCUACUAGAAGUGAGCGACAGUGGAGACUGUAUCCAAGGAGGGGCUGAGAUAUACCUGCCUAGUGACACACGCAGGCCUGUAGGAACCUCUCUAUAGAUCCCAGGGUGGAAAGUGGAGGAAGAGAAAGAGAAGAAAGAAGAGGGAGGGAUGUGGGAUUGCAGAACAGGGCAGGCAAGAACCUGAGGAGGCCAGGCUCCCUGCCCCUCCCCUCUCCAGAACUUCCAGCCAGAGUACCCUCAUGUCCAGGCUGUUGUUGAUGCUGUACUGCUGUCCUCCAGUUGGAAGUGAUCAGAGCCAUGCUUCUCUGCACGUCUGGACACAUCCUCCUGAUGCUGCAGACCACCGACCCCACAGCUGCAGACCGACUCCGGGGAAAUCGACGCCCUAGGGACGCGCGCAAGGCUGGCGGACACCGGCUGGCGGUCGUCGGGAGCGCGCACGUCUGGACGCCGCCGCGGACAAUGCUGCUGCUGCUGCAACUGCUGUCUCUACUGCGGGAGCUCACGGCAGAGAGUCCCUGGGGGCUGCCUGUGGUAGCUGAUGGCCCAGCUUCCUUAGCAAAGGUGGUGAUGGCAGAACUGGCUGACCUGAAGUUAGAAAACAAGCCAUGGCCUGGAGGGACGCACUCUCUCCACUACCACUACCUGGCCCUAUCAGAGCCAGGCCCGGGCCUUCCUCAGUUUCUGGCUGUAGGCUACGUGGACGACCAGCCUUUCAUCCAUUAUGACAGUCGUGUGGACAGAGCCAAGCCCCAGGCCCCGUGGAUGGCAGCUGUGGACACCCAGUACUGGGAAACAGAGACCCAGAAGCAGAGAGCCUGGGCAAAGGUGCAGCAGGUGGAGACAUGGACUGUGAUGGGCUACCACAACCAGAGCAGUGGCACACACAGCACUCAGCGAACGUUCGGCUGUGAGAUCCGGGAAGACGGCUGUACCAGCAGCUUCUGGCAGUUUGGCUUUGAUGGCCAGGACCACCUGUCACUGGACCUGGAGACCCUGAGCUGGGUGUCAGCCAAGCCUGUGGCUGUGCAGACCAAGCGUUGGUGGGAAACAGAGCGCUGCUAUGCCGAAUACGACAAGGCCUACCUGGAGGGCCUCUGCCUCACUUCCCUGCACAGGUACCUGGAGCUGGGCAGCCAGAGCCUCACCCGGAAAGAGCCGCCCAAAGUGCAGGUGACAAGACACACAGCUGAGGAUGGGAGCAUCACACUGAGAUGCUGGGCCCGGGGCUUCUACCCACGGGACAUCUCAUUGAGCUGGUGGCUGGGGGAGGACGAGCUGGUUCAAGAGACCGAGUAUGUGGAGACACGCCCUGGUGGAGAUGGUACCUACCAGACAUGGGCGGCCGUGCGGGUGCCAGCCAGGAUGGAGAAUGGGUACAUUUGCCAUGUGCAGCACUCCAGCUUGAACCAUACACUCACUGUGGCCUGGGAAGCACCCUCUCAUCAGUGGAUAACCAGUGCCAAGGUUGUCUCCAUCAUCUUCACCAUCACUUUCUUGCUGGUGGCUGGAGUUUUGAUUUUCAUCAAGCAGUACUCUCAAGAACUGUUCUCUCUUGGGGAGAAGCAACUACUAUUGAACACCUGUCCCCAUCUGUGGAAAAGCCCAAGUACCCCCACCCAAUAGCCAUACAUUGCCCUAAAGACACUGUGGAUCACACAGCCAGGGAAGACCACUAGGAUUGACCUUCAAAAGACCCGAGAGGGGGAGAGGGAGUGGAAGGUGGGUACCUGGGACCCCCACCUCUGCCUACCACCCACCUAGUCUCUCCUUUUGUGUUCUUUUUCCCAUAGCCAGGAAUAAGGAAUCUUGCAAACAAGCCCCAGGUGGAGAGGAGCCUCAUAAUUCCCAAAACCCAAUGAGCGUGGAGACUGCUCAGCUGCUCUGCUGACACAAGUUCACUGUCACAGAUCAAGGAGGUGUUUUAUAGAGGGUUUGGGGGCAUCCAGUGUGCUAGCUGGCUGGCAGUGGUGAUCCAACUCUGAAGGGCCCACCCCACCUCAAAACUGAGCCCUCCUCAGCUCCAUCAGCCUCAUCACAAGCAGUCUGGGCCAGUAAGAUUUGCCAUCUUCCUGAAGUCCUUUUAAAAGUCUAAUUGUCUCCAGUUUGGGGGCGUGGGAAGGAGGGCAGUAAUAAUUCCUCAGAUCGGUUCACACUUGACAAUUUGCACGAUAAUUUCAUGUAAAGUGUAAAUCCCACCUGAGCCUCUCAGGUACUCUGUGAGUUCGGUGAUGGUAUUCUCACCGCCACUUCCCCAACAUGGAAACCACAGCUAUGGGAAGUUAAGGAAGAACCAGAAGAACAGUCAAGGAGUUAUGGGGGCAGCAUGGCCAAAUGCCUACCUCCUUUUAUAAAUGUGUUCUUGUGUGUAUGUAUAUUUUCUUUUAUAAAGAAGAUUGGAGUGUU
RNA transcript from Herpailurus yagouaroundi (jaguarundi), 2621 nucleotides. It is a transcript of the gene named H-2 class I histocompatibility antigen, Q10 alpha chain-like, with no coding region annotated. NCBI's taxonomy places the organism in Eukaryota, Metazoa, Chordata, Mammalia, Carnivora, Felidae. The transcript is spliced from 9 exons. The record is from RefSeq and is a predicted model, not a curated record.